This 253-nucleotide ribosomal RNA is filed under the name uncultured bacterium. RNAcentral describes it as "partial 16S ribosomal RNA". It matches the Rfam family "Bacterial small subunit ribosomal RNA", at positions 524 to 776 of the family's 1533-position model. The record is from RNAcentral.
UACGUAGGGGGCAAGCGUUGUCCGGAAUCAUUGGGCGUAAAGCGCGUGUAGGCGGCUUCGUAAGUCCGUUGUGAAAGUCCAGGGCUCAACCCUGGAAUGCCGAUGGAUACUGUGGAGCUAGAGUCCGGAAGAGGCGAGUGGAAUUCCUGGUGUAGCGGUGAAAUGCGCAGAUAUCAGGAGGAACACCAAUGGCGAAGGCAGCUCGCUGGGACGGUACUGACGCUGAGACGCGAAAGCGUGGGGAGCAAACAGG